This 378-nucleotide ribosomal RNA is filed under the name uncultured bacterium. RNAcentral's name for it is "bacterial SSU rRNA". It matches the Rfam family "Bacterial small subunit ribosomal RNA", at positions 30 to 407 of the family's 1533-position model. The record is from RNAcentral.
AUUGAACGCUGGCGGCAUGCCUUACACAUGCAAGUCGAACGGCAGCACGGGAGCAAUCCUGGUGGCGAGUGGCGAACGGGUGAGUAAUGUAUCGGAACGUACCUUUUCAGUGGGGGAUAACGUAGCGAAAGUUACGCUAAUACCGCAUAUUCUGUGAGCAGGAAAGCAGGGGAUCGCAAGACCUUGCGCUGAUUGAGCGGCCGAUAUCAGAUUAGCUAGUUGGUGAGGUAAAGGCUCACCAAGGCGACGAUCUGUAGCGGGUCUGAGAGGAUGAUCCGCCACACUGGAACUGAGACACGGUCCAGACUCCUACGGGAGGCAGCAGUGGGGAAUUUUGGACAAUGGGCGCAAGCCUGAUCCAGCCAUGCCGCGUGAGUG